GCGCAACCCUUGUCCUUAGUUACCAGCACGUUAUGGUGGGCACUCUAAGGAGACUGCCGGUGACAACCGGAGGAAGGUGGGGAUGACGUCAAGUCAUCAUGGCCCUUACGGCCUGGGCUACACACGUGCUACAAUGGUCGGUACAAAGGGUUGCCAAGCCGCGAGGUGGAGCUAAUCCCAUAAAACCGAUCGUAGUCCGGAUCGCAGUCUGCAACUCGACUGCGUGAAGUCGGAAUCGCUAGUAAUCGUGAAUCAGAAUGUCACGGUGAAUACGUUCCCGGGCCUU
Molecule: ribosomal RNA, 286 nt
Filed under: uncultured Pseudomonas sp.
Lineage: Bacteria; Pseudomonadati; Pseudomonadota; Gammaproteobacteria; Pseudomonadales; Pseudomonadaceae
Description: partial 16S ribosomal RNA
Rfam family: Bacterial small subunit ribosomal RNA
Source: RNAcentral